Molecule: long non-coding RNA, 1324 nt
Organism: Rhinichthys klamathensis goyatoka
Lineage: Eukaryota; Metazoa; Chordata; Actinopteri; Cypriniformes; Leuciscidae
Exons: 2
Source: RefSeq, a predicted model, not a curated record
UGACAAACAGUUUGGACAAUUUCUGAGAGUUAAAUAAUGCAGGUUAGGAUAAAAUCCAUAAUCAGAUCAACAUGGAAAAACCACACUGUUAGUUUUUUUUUAAAUAUUCCCAAUAGAAACUUGAAAACAUAACAGACCAUUUUAGAAUGGUAGGGCUGCUCAGGUGAACCUAUAUUACAAAUGUUUAGUUUUAUUUAUUUGAAAUUCCCCAUAUCUAGUAGACAUUUGCUAGUCCAGUCGUAAAACAUCCAUCUUAUUGAAAAGAUAUCUCACUGUUUUUAAAUUACCUGAUAUCAGGGCAAAAUGUAACAAAUCCAUUGACCAUGUUGUGUAGUCAAUAUUACCUGGUUGAAAUUCCCAUCAUAUGGGUUUUUAAUGACCACAUUUCACUCUAUCUACCUCAAAUCUAUUUCAAAUAAUUGUAAACUUAAUCAUUGAUCUGGACAUUUUUAUCACAAGUCAAUGCCAUGCUCCAGGUUAUGGUUUUCAGAGUCUCAAAAGUUUUUCACAGUAUGGUUUGAAGGUUUUCAGCUGUCGUUCCAAUUGAUUCAUGAGUUUUCCUUUGAGUUAUAUUUGUGUGUUGUAUUUGUUUGGUUUCUUUGUUCCAGCUUAACUCAAUUGAAUGACAGCUAAGCCCUGGAACAACAAGGGAAAUUAAUUUGUGCAUGAAGUCAGUGAUAUGAGGAAGUGAUGACAUGGUACCAUGGAAACAUCACAUCAGAUCUUGUCAGUUAUAUAAUCCCAUAAGCAUUUAUAAUAUUUGUGACCACUGUGUGUUUCUUUUAAUAUUUUAAAUCACUAAUAUAAUGUCUCAUAUUUCAAUGGGUUUUUUUUUUAAUUCAGUAAUUUCCAUGUACUUUUUUAAACCUCUUUUGGGGACUCGAGUAGGAGGCGGGAUAGUUUUUUUUCUAUGAUACCACUGUAGUACAGUGUAUUCUCAAGAACUGUAACAUGCCUUAGGCUAAGACAUAGAUGUGGAUUUUUGUCUUCAAAAAGUUACCCUUCUUGCCUAAAUUAAGCAUUUUAAUGUCAUUAUGCAAUAAUCUGUAAUUACUGUAACUACUGAAACUGAGGCACCUUGAUCUGAAUAUUUGAAGCAUUACAUGACCUCUAUGGUUAUGGUUGUAUGAAGCACAAAACUAACAGCAUUCACCUAAAUGCCUUUCACAGUCAUCAGGGUGUGGGCUAUUAGGUUAACAUAGUAGCUAAAUAUGCCUCAGGGACUAGGCCUUUACCACAUCAUGCAAUUCGUUUCAAAUUUGUCCUGUAAUGUUUUCUUGUUCCUAAUAUAAAUCAAUAAACAUGGUCCUAAAAGAAAUAUGAA